RNAcentral lists this transfer RNA (67 nucleotides) under Typhlomys cinereus (Soft-furred tree mouse). RNAcentral's name for it is "tRNA-Val". It matches the Rfam family "tRNA". Rfam says of the family: Transfer RNA (tRNA) molecules are approximately 80 nucleotides in length. Their secondary structure includes four short double-helical elements and three loops (D, anti-codon, and T loops). Lineage: Eukaryota; Metazoa; Chordata; Mammalia; Rodentia; Platacanthomyidae. The record is from RNAcentral.
CAUAGUGUAGCUUAAACCCAAAGCAUCUGAUUUACACCCAGAAGAUUUUAUAAAUUAAACACUAUGA